This 279-nucleotide unclassified non-coding RNA is filed under the name plant metagenome. RNAcentral's name for it is "partial contains small subunit ribosomal RNA, internal transcribed spacer 1, and 5.8S ribosomal RNA". The record is from RNAcentral.
UCUCCGUUGGUGAACCAGCGGAGGGAUCAUUACCGAGUUAUUCUACUCCCAAACCCCUGUGAACUUAUACCUCUACUGUUGCUUCGGCGGGUCAACGCCCCGGAACGCCCGCGAGUGACCCCGGAACCAGGCGCCCGCCGGGGGACCCACACACUUUUCUCUUUUUUCUAGCAUGUCUUUGUAGAACCGAACACAUAUGUAUCAAAUCUUUCAACAACGGAUCUCUUGGGUAUGGCAUCCGUCAAGAACGCAGCAAAUCGGAACUACAUACUUCUGAAC